GUGCUCACCUUGGCAGCACAUACAUUAAAAUUGGAACGAUACAAAGAAGAUUAGCAUGGCUUCUGCAGAAGGAUGACAUGCAAAUUAGUGAAGCAUUUCAUAUUUUU
This is a small nuclear RNA of Cebus imitator (Panamanian white-faced capuchin), 107 nucleotides long. The record is from Ensembl. NCBI's taxonomy places the organism in Eukaryota, Metazoa, Chordata, Mammalia, Primates, Cebidae.